AGCCACCAGUGAGGAUUGAACUCACGACCCCAGUUUACAAGACCAGUACUCUAACCACUUAUAUAUUAUGGC
Molecule: non-coding RNA, 72 nt
Organism: Araneus ventricosus
Lineage: Eukaryota; Metazoa; Arthropoda; Arachnida; Araneae; Araneidae
Source: the annotation of a GenBank genome assembly